Molecule: ribosomal RNA, 520 nt
Filed under: uncultured Desulfobacca sp.
Lineage: Bacteria; Pseudomonadati; Thermodesulfobacteriota; Desulfobaccia; Desulfobaccales; Desulfobaccaceae
Description: bacterial SSU rRNA
Rfam family: Bacterial small subunit ribosomal RNA
Source: RNAcentral
AGAGUUUGAUCAUGGCUCAGAACGAACGCUGGCGGCGUGCCUAACACAUGCAAGUCGAGCGGGAAAAUGGGGGCAACCCCAUGAGUACAGCGGCGCACGGGUGAGUAACACGUAGGUAACCUACCUAUGAGCCUGGGAUAACCUGCCGAAAGGCGGGCUAAUACCGGAUAAGACCACGGGGCCUGCGGUCCCUGGGGCAAAAGGUGGCCUCUCCAUGGAAGCUACUACUCGUAGAUGGGCCUGCGCGCCAUUAGCUAGUUGGCGGGGUAAUGGCCCACCAAGGCUUAGAUGGCUAGCUGGUCUGAGAGGAUGGCCAGCCACACUGGGACUGAGACACGGCCCAGACUCCUACGGGAGGCAGCAGUGGGGAAUAUUGCGCAAUGGGCGAAAGCCUGACGCAGCGACGCCGCGUGGGUGAUGAAGGCCUUCGGGUCGUAAAGCCCUGUCGGGAGGGACGAAACCUCGGUGACCCAAUACGUCAUCGACCUGACGGUACCUCCUAAGAAGACCUGAUUCGCCG